Molecule: transfer RNA, 75 nt
Filed under: Verrucomicrobia bacterium ADurb.Bin063
Lineage: Bacteria; Pseudomonadati; Verrucomicrobiota
Also listed under: 2 other names
Description: tRNA-Ala
Rfam family: tRNA
About the family: Transfer RNA (tRNA) molecules are approximately 80 nucleotides in length. Their secondary structure includes four short double-helical elements and three loops (D, anti-codon, and T loops). Further hydrogen bonds mediate the characteristic L-shaped molecular structure. tRNAs have two regions of fundamental functional importance: the anti-codon, which is responsible for specific mRNA codon recognition, and the 3' end, to which the tRNAs corresponding amino acid is attached (by aminoacyl-tRNA synthetases). tRNAs cope with the degeneracy of the genetic code in two manners: having more than one tRNA (with a specific anti-codon) for a particular amino acid; and 'wobble' base-pairing, i.e. permitting non-standard base-pairing at the 3rd anti-codon position.
Source: RNAcentral
GGGGUCGUAGCUCAGUGGUAGAGCGCCUGCUUUGCAAGCAGGAUGCCGCGGGUUCGAGUCCCGCCGGCUCCACCA